RNAcentral lists this microRNA precursor (152 nucleotides) under Nelumbo nucifera (sacred lotus). Its description in RNAcentral is "MIR168 microRNA precursor family". It matches the Rfam family "MIR168 microRNA precursor family". The record is from Rfam by way of RNAcentral. Lineage: Eukaryota; Viridiplantae; Streptophyta; Magnoliopsida; Proteales; Nelumbonaceae.
GUCAUUUUCGUCUCUAAUUCGCUUGGUGCAGGUCGGGAAUGCGCCGCCUCUAUGGUUUUUUUUUUUUUUUUUUUUGUUUUGGCGAGAUUCGAUUAGUUAAUAGGCGAAUGGAUUCCCGCCUUGCAUCAACUGAAUCGGAGAUGACAGUGAAG